GACGAACGCUGGCGGCGUGCUUAACACAUGCAAGUCGAGCGAGGCCCCUCCUUCGGGAGGGUGUCCUAGCGGCGAACGGGUGAGUAACACGUGGGCAACCUGCCCUCAGCUCUGGGAUAACUCCGGGAAACCGGGGCUAAUACCGGAUACGAACUCCACGGGCAUCUGCGGAGGUGGAGAGUUUUUCGGCCGAGGAUGGGCCCGCGGCCUACCAGCUAGUUGGUGGGGUAGUGGCCCACCAAGGGGACGACGGGUAGCCGGCCGGGGAGGGCGACCGGCCACACUGGGACUGCGACACGGCCCAGACUCCUACGGGAGGCAGCAGUGGGGAAUAUUGCGCAAUGGGCGCAAGCCUGACGCAGCGACGCCGCGUGAGGGACGAAGGCCUUCGGGUUGUAAACCUCUUUCAGCAGGGACGAAGCGAAAGUGACGGUACCUGCAGAAGAAGCACCGGCCAACUACGUG
RNAcentral lists this ribosomal RNA (465 nucleotides) under uncultured bacterium. RNAcentral describes it as "partial 16S ribosomal RNA". It matches the Rfam family "Bacterial small subunit ribosomal RNA", at positions 28 to 507 of the family's 1533-position model. The record is from RNAcentral.